RNAcentral lists this non-coding RNA (36 nucleotides) under Trypanosoma brucei brucei. Lineage: Eukaryota; Euglenozoa; Kinetoplastea; Trypanosomatida; Trypanosomatidae. The record is from RNAcentral.
CAAUGCUAGAUUAGAGUGAAUUAAGUUAUGUAAAUU